AAAUGAAUAGACGGGGGCCCGCACAAGCAGCGGAGCAUGUGGUUUAAUUCGAAGCAACGCGAAGAACCUUACCAGGGCUUGACAUCCCUCUGGCGUACCUAGAGAUAGGUAUUUCUCUUUUGAGACAGAGGAGACAGGUGGUGCAUGGUUGUCGUCAGCUCGUGUCGUGAGAUGUUGGGUUAAGUCCCGCAACGAGCGCAACCCCUAUCAUUAGUUACCAGCACUAAGGGUGGGGACUCUAAUGAGACUGCCGUGGAUAACACGGAGGAAGGUGGGGACGACGUCAAAUCAUCAUGCCCCUUAUGUCCUGGGCUACACACGUGCUACAAUGGCCGGUACAGCGGGAAGCGAGGCGGCAACGCGGAGCAAAUCCCUAAAAGCCGGUCCCAGUUCGGAUUGUGGGCUGCAACUCGUCCACAUGAAGUCGGAGUUGCUAGUAAUCGCGAAUCAGCAUGUCGCGGUGAAUGCGUUCCCGGGCCUUGUACACACCGCCCGU
Molecule: ribosomal RNA, 496 nt
Filed under: uncultured bacterium
Lineage: Bacteria
Description: bacterial SSU rRNA
Rfam family: Bacterial small subunit ribosomal RNA
Source: RNAcentral